This is a small RNA of Nocardia nova SH22a, 300 nucleotides long. It matches the Rfam family "Mycobacterium smegmatis small RNA 1". Rfam says of the family: Mycobacterium smegmatis small RNA 1 is highly expressed during stationary phase of growth. Ms1 RNA directly interacts with RNA polymerase (RNAP), but in a different way than 6S, which is present in other bacteria. Ms1 does not require the presence of the main sigma factor for RNAP interaction. The record is from Rfam. Lineage: Bacteria; Bacillati; Actinomycetota; Actinomycetes; Mycobacteriales; Nocardiaceae.
ACGGAAGGGCGGAAGGCCAAGAUCGAAACGGAAGAGAAGGUUCGAUCUCCCGGCCGCACUUCCCAGCACGGACACCAGGCACCCACGCGGAGCGCGCCGCGACAAGGGCAGAAGCGUUGUGGGCCUGCGAAAUUCGCAUUCACCUCGGCAAUGGCCUCGCACAGGUUGCGGGGAUGAACCGGCGGAGUGCGGAUGAUCGCCGAGGCCGCAGAACACAACCCGACCAGCACGCUUGGUAACCGGGCAGUCCGUGCUAGCGGGCGGUGAGGCCGACGACGGCUACGCCGCCCGCUUCGACGU